UGAGGAAUAUUGCGCAAUGGGGGCAACCCUGACGCAGCGACGCCGCGUGAGUGAGGAAGGCCUUCGGGUCGUAAAGCUCUGUCAAAGGGAAAGAAGUGUGCAAUGGCUAAUACCUGUUGCAUUUGACGGUACCCUUAAAGGAAGCACCGGCUAACUCCGUGCCAGCAGCCGCGGUAAUACGGAGGGUGCAAGCGUUGUUCGGAAUCACUGGGCGUAAAGGGCGCGCAGGCGGUUUGAUAAGUCAGAUGUGAAAGCCCAUGGCUUAACUGUGGAAGUGCAUUUGAAACUGUCAGACUUGAGUAUCAGAGGGGAAAGUGGAAUUCCCGGUGUAGAGGUGAAAUUCGUAGAUAUCGGGAGGAACACCAGAGGCGUAGGCGGUUCUCUAGGCUAGUCCUGACACUGAGACACGAAAGCUAGGGGAGCAAACG
RNAcentral lists this ribosomal RNA (428 nucleotides) under uncultured prokaryote. Its description in RNAcentral is "bacterial SSU rRNA". It matches the Rfam family "Bacterial small subunit ribosomal RNA", at positions 355 to 774 of the family's 1533-position model. The record is from RNAcentral.